GACUGCAUAGCUCAGUUGGCAGAGCAUUGGGCUAGUAUUCCAAAGGUCGUAGGUUCGAUUCCCACCGUGGCCG
Molecule: non-coding RNA, 73 nt
Organism: Paramuricea clavata
Lineage: Eukaryota; Metazoa; Cnidaria; Anthozoa; Malacalcyonacea; Plexauridae
Source: the annotation of a GenBank genome assembly